RNAcentral lists this small RNA (80 nucleotides) under Flavobacterium sp. 103. Its description in RNAcentral is "Flavo-1 RNA". It matches the Rfam family "Flavo-1 RNA". The record is from RNAcentral. Lineage: Bacteria; Pseudomonadati; Bacteroidota; Flavobacteriia; Flavobacteriales; Flavobacteriaceae.
GUUUUGCGUAAGGGAUUGAAGUGGAAAUCCUUUUUAUUUUUUUUAAAAUAAAAAGAUUGCAACAGAAAGCCCGACCCGAA